UGACUUGUAGUUUAGUGGUAAAACGCUCGCUUCGUGAGAGAUUCAGGGUUCGAUUCCCUGCGAGUCCA
Molecule: transfer RNA, 68 nt
Filed under: Hypoxylon rubiginosum
Lineage: Eukaryota; Fungi; Ascomycota; Sordariomycetes; Xylariales; Hypoxylaceae
Description: tRNA-OTHER
Rfam family: tRNA
About the family: Transfer RNA (tRNA) molecules are approximately 80 nucleotides in length. Their secondary structure includes four short double-helical elements and three loops (D, anti-codon, and T loops).
Source: RNAcentral